This 1091-nucleotide long non-coding RNA is filed under the name Vulpes vulpes (red fox). Its description in RNAcentral is "lncRNA (ENSVVUG00000014308.1)". Lineage: Eukaryota; Metazoa; Chordata; Mammalia; Carnivora; Canidae. The record is from RNAcentral.
CAUGGGGAUUAAAUGACUCGUUUUUUAAAAACUUGGUACAGUAAGGAGUACAGAGUAAGGACUUAGUAACUUUAAUUAUUCCCUACACAUCAAAUGCUGCUACUUACCAAAUCUACUUUAUUUUCGUUCAUUCAGCAACCGACUACCGAGUGCCUACUGUGUGCCAUGUGCCCUGCCAGAUGCUGGGACUAGAGCAUCCGCCCUCCCAUCUCAGGGAUCCUUACAGCAGAACGGGAAGCACAGAUGAUAAAGGAAUGCUUGCUGGCGGCGGCUGCCGGGGAGCCCAGCACAGGAUCUGCUCCUCGGAGCAGUGUUGUUUCUCCUCCUUGGGGCACCUCCUCCAGGAAGCCUUCCAGACCACACAAGUGUAUGGUAAUUCCUGCCUCUCCCCCAGCGCACACCAAAAAUAAAGCCGGGCUUUGUGCCUUGAAUCACCAUUUACAGAGCAAUGUAUACUUCACAAAGUAUUUUUCUGUCCGUGUCUCACUGAACCUCACAGGAACCCUAAUGGGGUCAGAUGAGUUUUGUCCCCGUUUUGCAGAUGGGGACCUGGGAGGCAAGGGGAGGGUGUAUGCUCACACGAGGGUGCAGUUGCACCCGUGCCAACCCUUCCCGAAAACUGCCUGGGUGCCAAGGGCUGCCCCGUGUUUCCACACAGUUGUUUACUCAAUAACCAUUGACUGAGCACCUACUCUGUGCCAGCCGCCGACACAGAUGCUGUGCCAGCAGCACCGAGAAAACAGACCAACACAGUCCCUCCUCCUGCAAGCCGCGUCCUAGGGAGAAGAGACCGUGCUCGGCAAGUCAGGUGGUGAGUGAGGUGGUGACACUCUGUGCAGACCAAGAAGUGGGGGGAAGCCCGAGGGGGGCAUCAGGCAAGAUCGCAGGUGAGGGGACUUGGAGACACCUGAAGGAGGGAAGGGACAGCCCCAAGGAUGUCCACCCCGAAGCCAGACUGUCUCCCAUGGGGGGCCGGGCCGUGCCCCUCUGCCCCCACCCUGAACACUCCCCGAGGAGGCCCCCCGCUGCAGCUCUCCCCGGCCCUGCCUGCUGGGCCCUCGCCCUCGCCCCGGCCACCAAUCCUGCACCCC